Molecule: long non-coding RNA, 209 nt
Filed under: Setaria italica (foxtail millet)
Lineage: Eukaryota; Viridiplantae; Streptophyta; Magnoliopsida; Poales; Poaceae
Description: long non-coding RNA (SITA_LNC003933)
Source: RNAcentral
GAAAUUUAUUGUUGCCGCGUUGGAUACUUGGAUGUGUGCAAGUACAAGAGGCAUUAUACUAUCGUGGAGUGUAGAAGUACCAGUGCGGCGACGUCACCGGCAUCCGACCCCGUGGGCUGUUAGUUUUGGCGACUGGUGACCUUGGAUGUGGUGUGGGCGAGUCAACUCUCUCUACCUGGAUACUAAGCCUACACGAAAUGAAAAAAAAA